RNAcentral lists this ribosomal RNA (253 nucleotides) under uncultured bacterium. RNAcentral's name for it is "partial 16S ribosomal RNA". It matches the Rfam family "Bacterial small subunit ribosomal RNA", at positions 524 to 776 of the family's 1533-position model. The record is from RNAcentral.
GACGUAGGGUCCGAGCAUUGUCCGGAAUUAUUGGGCGUAAAGAGCUCGUAGGCGGUCUGUUGCGUCGGCUGUGAAAACCCGGGGCUCAACUCCGGGCCUGCAGUCGAUACGGGCAGACUAGAGUUCGGUAGGGGAGACUGGAAUUCCUGGUGUAGCGGUGAAAUGCGCAGAUAUCAGGAGGAACACCGGUGGCGAAGGCGGCUUGCUGGGCCUUACCUGACGCUGAGGAGCGAAAGCGUGGGGAGCGAACAGG